RNAcentral lists this ribosomal RNA (253 nucleotides) under uncultured bacterium. RNAcentral's name for it is "partial 16S ribosomal RNA". It matches the Rfam family "Bacterial small subunit ribosomal RNA", at positions 524 to 776 of the family's 1533-position model. The record is from RNAcentral.
UACGUAGGGUGCGAGCGUUAAUCGGAAUUACUGGGCGUAAAGCGUGCGCAGGCGGUUUGGUAAGACAGAUGUGAAAUCCCCGGGCUUAACCUGGGAACUGCAUUUGUGACUGCAUGGCUGGAGUGCGGCAGAGGGGGAUGGAAUUCCGCGUGUAGCAGUGAAAUGCGUAGAUAUGCGGAGGAACACCGAUGGCGAAGGCAAUCCCCUGGGCCUGCACUGACGCUCAUGCACGAAAGCGUGGGGAGCAAACAGG